CUUCACCUCUGAGGGAGGCUGGAAGCCCGGAGCCGAGUGGUUCGACUCCUCCGGU
This 55-nucleotide transfer RNA is filed under the name uncultured Bolidomonas. Its description in RNAcentral is "partial Selenocysteine transfer RNA". The record is from RNAcentral. Lineage: Eukaryota; Bolidophyceae.